ACCAUGCAAGUCGAGGGGUAUAGUUCUUCGGAAUUAGAGACCGGCGCACGGGUGCGUAACGCGUAUGCAAUCUACCUUUUACAGAGGGAUAGCCCAGAGAAAUUUGGAUUAAUACCUCAUAGUAUAGCAGUUUCGCAUGAAACCACUAUUAAAGUCACAACGGUAAAAGAUGAGCAUGCGUCCCAUUAGCUAGUUGGUAAGGUAACGGCUUACCAAGGCUACGAUGGGUAGGGGUCCUGAGAGGGAGAUCCCCCACACUGGUACUGAGACACGGACCAGACUCCUACGGGAGGCAGCAGUGAGGAAUAUUGGACAAUGGGCGCAAGCCUGAUCCAGCCAUGCCGCGUGCAGGAUGACGGUCCUAUGGAUUGUAAACUGCUUUUAUACAGGAAGAAACCCUGGUUCGUGAACCAGCUUGACGGUACUGUAAGAAUAAGGAUCGGCUAACUCCGUGCCAGCAGCCGCGGUAAUACGGAGGAUCCAAGCGUUAUCCGGAAUCAUUGGGUUUAAAGGGUCCGUAGGCGGUUUAAUAAGUCAGUGGUGAAAGCCCAUCGCUCAACGGUGGAACGGCCAUUGAUACUGUUAAACUUGAAUUAUUAGGAAGUAACUAGAAUAUGUAGUGUAGCGGUGAAAUGCUUAGAGAUUACAUGGAAUACCAAUUGCGAAGGCAGGUUACUACUAAUGUAUUUGACGCUGAUGGACGAAAGCGUGGGUAGCGAAACAGGGAUUAGAUACCCUGGUAGUCCACGCCGUAAACGAUGGAUACUAGCUGUUGG
Molecule: ribosomal RNA, 776 nt
Filed under: Flavobacterium sp. 3AAIII
Lineage: Bacteria; Pseudomonadati; Bacteroidota; Flavobacteriia; Flavobacteriales; Flavobacteriaceae
Description: bacterial SSU rRNA
Rfam family: Bacterial small subunit ribosomal RNA
Source: RNAcentral